UGUUAUGGAUGAUGAGAUAAGCAAUUCACAGUUAUCCCUGUCUGAUACGUUAUGAUGAAUGCUUGUGAUCUGACAUGACA
Capsicum annuum is the source of this 80-nucleotide non-coding RNA. NCBI's taxonomy places the organism in Eukaryota, Viridiplantae, Streptophyta, Magnoliopsida, Solanales, Solanaceae. The record is from Rfam.